RNAcentral lists this small RNA (680 nucleotides) under Pongo abelii (Sumatran orangutan). RNAcentral describes it as "retained intron". The record is from RNAcentral. Lineage: Eukaryota; Metazoa; Chordata; Mammalia; Primates; Hominidae.
AUUACUGCAGAGUAAAAAUGAAGAGCUGUUAAAAGUGAUUGAAAAUCAGAAAGAUGAAAACAAAAAAUUUACUAGUAUAUUUAAAGACAAAGAUCAAACUAUACUUGAAAAUAAGCAGCAAUAUGAUAUUGAGAUAACAAGAAUAAAAAUUGGUACGUAUUUAGACAGUAGUUAUGGUCACAUCUUUUAAAAGGAAUAAGGAAACUGAAACUUUUGUUGUUUUAGAAUUGGAGGAAGCCCUAGUCAAUGUGAAAAGCUCCCAGUUUAAGUUAGAAACUGCUGAAAAGGAAAACCAGAUAUUGGGGAUAACAUUACGUCAGCGUGAUGCUGAGGUGACUCGACUAAGAGAAUUAACCAGGUAAAAUUGACUUCCUUUGAACUUAUGCCUUUUUUAUUUUUAGAUGUUUUUAUAAACUUUGAAAUAAUGUUAGACCUGUUUUCUCACCCAUAUCUUUUUCUCUUAUUUUGCCAAUGUUUUUGCUAAUUUCUAAUGAUGUUUUCUUCUGUUCCAAUUAAAUUAGUUUAGAAAUUUCAAACCUGGCAAAAUGUUUUUUUUAAAACCGUGUGAUUCUGGGGUCCUGAUGAGAAGCUGAAGACUUGUAUAGCAACACCAUUGAGCCCUCUGGUUCUGAAGCUAGAGAGAUCUGACUGGAAUCCCAGCUCUGCCACAUAUUAGCUGA